AGUGAACGCUGGCGGCAGGCCUAAUACAUGCAAGUCGAACGGCAGCACAGCAGAGCUUGCUCUGUGGGUGGCGAGUGGCGGACGGGUGAGGAAUACAUGGGAAUCUGCCCAGUCGUGGGGGAUAACGUAUGGAAACGUACGCUAAUACCGCAUGCGCCCUACGGGGGAAAGCCGGGGACCGCAAGGCCUGGCGCGAUUGGAUGAGCCCAUGUUCGAUUAGCUAGUUGGCGGGGUAAAGGCCCACCAAGGCGACGAUCGAUAGCUGGUCUGAGAGGAUGAUCAGCCACACUGGAACUGAGACACGGUCCAGACUCCUACGGGAGGCAGCAGUAGGGAAUAUUGGACAAUGGGGGCAACCCUGAUCCAGCCAUGCCGCGUGAGUGAAGAAGGCCUCGGUUGUAAGACUCUUCUAGACGGAAGAAAACGACAUCGGUGAAUACCGACUGUGGAGUGACGGUACCGUAAGAAGA
Molecule: ribosomal RNA, 470 nt
Filed under: uncultured bacterium
Lineage: Bacteria
Description: bacterial SSU rRNA
Rfam family: Bacterial small subunit ribosomal RNA
Source: RNAcentral